GCAAAUACAACUUACUCAGACAAAAAAGGCUGUCAGCAGCAAGUCUAGGCAGAAGCCAGGAGGAGUUAGGAACAGACUAUAAGAAAUGGUUGGUCUGGAGGAAAAAGGGUAAAACUUAUGAGGGCCCUUGUGAAUUGAUGAAUAUGAAGACACUAAGAAAGCAGAAAUAGAACUGAGAAGAAUGAAAUAACUGUCUCUACCUUUCUCGAAUUGUCUAAUAUGGAAAGAAUGAAAGACAGCUAAUAAGCAACUCUCUGCAAGAAGACAUAUGGCUUAGGUUCUGCUGAGCUAUUGGUGAUUUGAUUCCAUGCAUAUGUAUUCACUACUGAGAUGGGAUCUUGCUAUGUGGCCCAGGCUGGCCUCAAACUCCUGGCCUCAAGAUAUUUCCCCCUGCCUUGGCCUCUCAAAGUGAAUCUACUUGGAGAGAGUCAAACACAGAAUCCCUUUGAAUUUAAUGGCCAUUCCAGGUGAUUUGAACAGCCAAAUAAGAAACAGGUCCUCUUCAAUGUACAAUCUGCCAAGUAUGAAGUCUGAAUGACCAUCAUUAUUAUGUAUUUAAUGUGCAUAGAAAAUCUAUCUGCAACCUUCCAGAGUGUACCAGAAGUUUGGAAUGUACAUUAUUAUUGGCUCCAUCUCAAACCACUCAUAAAUCAAAGAAAAUAGCAGUUCCAGAGGAAUCAUCAUAGAGGCUUCUAGGCCCCCAUGCUGUGUGAACCUGGUGAGAAAGGGAAGUCUGCUCUCACUGGACACUGGAACUGUUUGUCUCUGUCUCUGCUGUACUUUCCCUGCCUCUACCUCACUUAGUAAAGAAAUCAUCUUUGCUUGAUAACUAAAACAACCAAUAAGGCUGAGAAAGGGGAAAACCCACAUCUGGAUUUAAAUACAAGGUAUUGGGCCAGCUGCUGGGGAUUAAACUUUGAACAAAACAGAUAGAAUCUAUGUCCUCAUGGGAGUGGCUAAUGGGAGAGUCGGAACAAAAAAAUAGCCAAGGAUAAUCCAGCAAAUGAUUUGGUGAAUGCUAUCAAAGAGAGAAAUACACAUGCUCUGGGAACACCAAACAGAGUCUCCCUCUCUGACCCAGGCUGGAGUGCCGUGGUAUGAUCUCGGCUCACUGCAACUUCUGCCUCCCAGCUUCAAGCAAUUCUCCUGUCUUAGCUUCCCAAGUAGCUGGGAUUACAGGCGUGCACCACCACACCAGGCUAAUUUUGUAUUUUUAGUAGAGACGGGGUUUUGCCAUGUUGGCCAGGCUGGUCUCGAACCCCUGACCUCAGGUGAUCUGCCCACCUCAACCUCCCAAAGUGCUGGGAUUACAGGUGUGAGCCACUGCAUCUGGCCUCAUAUAUUUUACUAUAACAAAUCAGUGUAGGCCAAAUAAAGUUAGAAAUGGAAGCUAAUGGAAAUAAAGAAUAGGCUUUCCUGUUAGUAUCUAUAGGUGUGUGUGUGUGUGUUCGUUAUUUAGGGAAAGAAACAGGGAACUUGGGGCAUAUAAUAUUUAUGUUCCCUUAGCUUAGGCAUAUAUGGUAUAUUUAGUUACUUAAUUAAUUUUUUAUUUAGAAGUUAUGUAUAGAGCAUUUUUCCUAGGCCAGUGGGGGAUUAAACCAGAAAUAUAAGAAGUGUCUGCCUUCUGGAAGCUUGUGAUCUAGUUAGGGGUAUCACAAGUGCACAGCGUUCACCAGUGGCAGAGAAGCAUGUGAUGAGUACCCAGAGCUUAUAUUGAGAAUAAGGUAUACAAGAAUUUAGAGGAGGCCAAUGUUGAUUUUCACCAAGAGUAUGGGACAGAGAGACAAGACAGGGUUGGUCAUCUAGUUCUGUGCACUGAAUAUAAUUUUGCAGGUUUAGGAGUGUUUGAAAACUACAAGGAAGAUAGAAUCUUGGUCUUGUUCUCCAGCAUGCCCUUUCUUGAACUCACCAGGGUAAUGCUGCAUCUUUUCAGAAAUGCCUCUGGCUUCUCAAAGCAACUUUCAUCCUGGAGAGGAACAAUUAGUCUUUGUCUUUCAUUAGUAAAAGAUUUAACGGCUCAGAAGGAGAAGCUAGUGGUGACUUUUCAAUCACCCCUUCUACCUCCCAG
This 2068-nucleotide long non-coding RNA is filed under the name Homo sapiens (human). RNAcentral's name for it is "HSALNT0111939". The record is from RNAcentral. Lineage: Eukaryota; Metazoa; Chordata; Mammalia; Primates; Hominidae.